This 1530-nucleotide ribosomal RNA is filed under the name Escherichia coli KTE101. RNAcentral describes it as "bacterial SSU rRNA". It matches the Rfam family "Bacterial small subunit ribosomal RNA". Lineage: Bacteria; Pseudomonadati; Pseudomonadota; Gammaproteobacteria; Enterobacterales; Enterobacteriaceae. The record is from RNAcentral.
AGAGUUUGAUCAUGGCUCAGAUUGAACGCUGGCGGCAGGCCUAACACAUGCAAGUCGAACGGUAACAGAAAGCAGCUUGCUGCUUUGCUGACGAGUGGCGGACGGGUGAGUAAUGUCUGGGAAACUGCCUGAUGGAGGGGGAUAACUACUGGAAACGGUAGCUAAUACCGCAUAACGUCGCAAGACCAAAGAGGGGGACCUUCGGGCCUCUUGCCAUCGGAUGUGCCCAGAUGGGAUUAGCUUGUUGGUGGGGUAACGGCUCACCAAGGCGACGAUCCCUAGCUGGUCUGAGAGGAUGACCAGCCACACUGGAACUGAGACACGGUCCAGACUCCUACGGGAGGCAGCAGUGGGGAAUAUUGCACAAUGGGCGCAAGCCUGAUGCAGCCAUGCCGCGUGUAUGAAGAAGGCCUUCGGGUUGUAAAGUACUUUCAGCGGGGAGGAAGGGAGUAAAGUUAAUACCUUUGCUCAUUGACGUUACCCGCAGAAGAAGCACCGGCUAACUCCGUGCCAGCAGCCGCGGUAAUACGGAGGGUGCAAGCGUUAAUCGGAAUUACUGGGCGUAAAGCGCACGCAGGCGGUUUGUUAAGUCAGAUGUGAAAUCCCCGGGCUCAACCUGGGAACUGCAUCUGAUACUGGCAAGCUUGAGUCUCGUAGAGGGGGGUAGAAUUCCAGGUGUAGCGGUGAAAUGCGUAGAGAUCUGGAGGAAUACCGGUGGCGAAGGCGGCCCCCUGGACGAAGACUGACGCUCAGGUGCGAAAGCGUGGGGAGCAAACAGGAUUAGAUACCCUGGUAGUCCACGCCGUAAACGAUGUCGACUUGGAGGUUGUGCCCUUGAGGCGUGGCUUCCGGAGCUAACGCGUUAAGUCGACCGCCUGGGGAGUACGGCCGCAAGGUUAAAACUCAAAUGAAUUGACGGGGGCCCGCACAAGCGGUGGAGCAUGUGGUUUAAUUCGAUGCAACGCGAAGAACCUUACCUGGUCUUGACAUCCACGGAAGUUUUCAGAGACGAGAAUGUGCCUUCGGGAACCGUGAGACAGGUGCUGCAUGGCUGUCGUCAGCUCGUGUUGUGAAAUGUUGGGUUAAGUCCCGCAACGAGCGCAACCCUUAUCCUUUGUUGCCAGCGGUCCGGCCGGGAACUCAAAGGAGACUGCCAGUGAUAAACUGGAGGAAGGUGGGGAUGACGUCAAGUCAUCAUGGCCCUUACGACCAGGGCUACACACGUGCUACAAUGGCGCAUACAAAGAGAAGCGACCUCGCGAGAGCAAGCGGACCUCAUAAAGUGCGUCGUAGUCCGGAUUGGAGUCUGCAACUCGACUCCAUGAAGUCGGAAUCGCUAGUAAUCGUGGAUCAGAAUGCCACGGUGAAUACGUUCCCGGGCCUUGUACACACCGCCCGUCACACCAUGGGAGUGGGUUGCAAAAGAAGUAGGUAGCUUAACCUUCGGGAGGGCGCUUACCACUUUGUGAUUCAUGACUGGGGUGAAGUCGUAACAAGGUAACCGUAGGGGAACCUGCGGUUGGAUCACCU